AAGAGUGAACUAGCUAACUGAAAUCUUAAAAUCAUUUAACAAUGGUAUUUAAGAUAACGUAAGGGAAAAAAAUGAUAGUACCUUACUAUAAGUGUUGUCCAACAUUACUGGUGCCAGAAGACUCGGUAACGCCAGAAACGCAAACGUUAGUCGUCCUAAACAGGCGUAAAGGGUAAGUAGGCUGCUUUGAAAGUUAUUAAUUAGAAAGCUCUUUAAAUAUAAAGUAAUUAAUAAUGAAUUAAAGCUAGAAUCAAACAGAGGAUAAUGAAUAUAAUGAUUUGAGUAAGGCUGAUAUCUUUAGAUACUUUUCGGAAUACUUAAGGUGAAAACUUUUAUCUACUAUUGAUUGACGCUGAGGAACGAAGGUGAGAAUAGAAAACAGGAUUAGAGACCCAGGUAUCUCUCACUGUCAACGAUGAAUGGUGGUUGUUAGUUUAAAAUAAAC
This 445-nucleotide ribosomal RNA is filed under the name Lepiota aff. psalion HMJAU3799. RNAcentral describes it as "SSU rRNA". It matches the Rfam family "Bacterial small subunit ribosomal RNA", at positions 365 to 840 of the family's 1533-position model. Lineage: Eukaryota; Fungi; Basidiomycota; Agaricomycetes; Agaricales; Agaricaceae. The record is from RNAcentral.